CGGCCGGCGGGGGCUGCAGGAGGGGAGCCAGCAGGCAGGGCAGCACCAUAGAAACACAAACAAGGCUCAUUAACUUCUGCUGCUCAGGAGAUACCACCCAAACCACAAGUGGGCUGCUCAUCUCAGACACCCGACCUUCACGCUCCUCGCAGGGAUCCUGGUGCUUGUACGAGGACCAGGAGAGGGAUUUGCUGCCGGUGAAGGCCGUGGCAGGUGAGUGGCUUUUGCUCCUGCCAUGGACCUGCUGCCUGCUUGGUUUUUAGCAUUGCUCAGUGCAUCUUGUUCUGCAAUCACCGUGCUGUCUGUUCGGGCUGAA
Molecule: long non-coding RNA, 316 nt
Filed under: Anser brachyrhynchus (Pink-footed goose)
Lineage: Eukaryota; Metazoa; Chordata; Aves; Anseriformes; Anatidae
Description: lncRNA (ENSABRG00000001817.1)
Source: RNAcentral